This 1459-nucleotide long non-coding RNA is filed under the name Macaca fascicularis (crab-eating macaque). Its description in RNAcentral is "lncRNA (ENSMFAG00000052290.1)". The record is from RNAcentral. Lineage: Eukaryota; Metazoa; Chordata; Mammalia; Primates; Cercopithecidae.
AUUCAACUGAUGUUUGUUGAGAUCCCUCGAUGUUCUGGGUACUCUUACACAUGCUUGGGAUAAAGGAGGGAACAAAAUGGACAAGAUUCUUGCCCUAAGGAAGCUUACAUUCAGGUUGGGGGAGAAAGACAAACAAAAUGUGUACUGUGUCAGAAAGUCAUAGGUACUACAGAGAAAACAGGGAAGGAAACGGAAGUGUGGGGGUUGAGGUUUUAUCUUAAGGGUAAUGUGAGUGGCCCCCAAGAGUUGUGCAAUAGGAUAAUGCUGCCAUGGACAGCCAGGGAAAUGCAUUAAGUGGGACUAUGACUGGAUGGAGAUUGUGUUUUAGCUGCUGAGUGGAGAAUGGAUCAGAGACAGGCUGAGUAGGAGGCAACUAUUCAGGUGAAAGAUAAAGUGAGCUGAAAUUAGGAUCAUGCCAAUGGGGCAUGGGGACAAGGGGACUGAUAUGGUGACAUUUAGGAGGUAAAUAUUUCUUGUCUGGCUUGGCUAACCAGGAAAUAAACAUUCCUACUCAUUUAAGGGCCUAUAUGUUUCCAUUGAAAGUCUGAAAAAAACUACACCAAAACUGACUUAUUUUGUGAAUAAAAAUAUUUGUGUACAUAAAUAUUUAUUUUCAUAAUUGCUGUUGGGGUUCCAAAUAUCAAAAAAUAUACCAGGAAUAAAAGUUGGCUUCACUGGCCCCAUGUAGAUAUAUAAAUAAACAUGAAGUUUCCAGGGCAAGGUCAUGAUUUAUGGAUGGAUACUUCUAAAUCUGGUCUAGAUGUUUUUAUUACUUGCCUAGGGGAAGAGGCUGAGAAAAACUGAACGUUAGUGCUUGAGCUGUAGCAUCAUCAUUUAUUCUUGCUCUAUUUUAGGCUUAUUUACAGGCCCAGGUGGGGAAUUUCUGCCUGAUGCUGGUAGCAUGUUGGCAUUGGUGAUGGCACCUCAGGCCAAGUCUGGGGAGCAGUUGGGAGGUCAGAGCAUCUGAAAACAUCACUGCCUCUGAGUUUUCUAAGGUGAAAAAAUAAACAGUGGAGCCAGGGUAGGUAGGCAAAGCAGAAAUGAGCCCUUUAGCACUCACAGCAAUUCCAACUUUUCUUUUUGUCCUGUCUCAAAUACUUCUUGAGUGGUCAGAGGCACACUGCCUUUGGUCUGCAGUGAAUUCUCAUCUUACCUCAAAUUUCAUGUAUUUGCACUUGGACUCCAUUAUGUGCAAGCAGGAAGAAUAAAGAAUACCAAUCUCAGCAGGGCGCAGUGGCUCACGCCUGUAAUCCCAGCAUUCUAGGAGGCAGAGGUGGGCGAAUCACCUCAGGUCAGGAAUUUGAGACCAGUCUGGCCAACAUGGUGAAACCUCGUCUCUACUAAAAAUACAAAACUUAGCUGGCAUCUGUAAUCCCAGCUACUUGGGAGGCUGAGGAACUAGAACUGCUUGAACCAUGGAGGUGGGAAGGAGCUUGGUCUAUUAGAGAAAGAGACAGGU